Small nuclear RNA from Dipodomys ordii (Ord's kangaroo rat), 107 nucleotides. Lineage: Eukaryota; Metazoa; Chordata; Mammalia; Rodentia; Heteromyidae. The record is from Ensembl.
GUGUUCGCUUCGGCAGCACAUAUACUAAAAUUGGAAUGGUACAGAGAAAAUUAUCAUAGCCCCUGCACAAGGAUGACACACAAACUUGUGAAGCAUUCCAGAUUUUU